This 71-nucleotide transfer RNA is filed under the name Marmota monax (woodchuck). Its description in RNAcentral is "tRNA.Ala". The record is from RNAcentral. Lineage: Eukaryota; Metazoa; Chordata; Mammalia; Rodentia; Sciuridae.
GGGGUUGUGGCUCAGUGGCAGAGCACUCGCCUAGCAUAUGGGAGGUGCUGGGUUCGAUCCUCAGCACCACA